This 507-nucleotide ribosomal RNA is filed under the name uncultured bacterium. RNAcentral's name for it is "bacterial SSU rRNA". It matches the Rfam family "Bacterial small subunit ribosomal RNA", at positions 29 to 524 of the family's 1533-position model. The record is from RNAcentral.
AGUGAACGCUGGCGGCAGGCCUAAUACAUGCAAGUCGAACGGCAGCACAGCAGAGCUUGCUCUGUGGGUGGCGAGUGGCGGACGGGUGAGGAAUACAUGGGAAUCUGCCCAGUCGUGGGGGAUAACGUAGGGAAACUUACGCUAAUACCGCAUGCGCCCUUCGGGGGAAAGCCGGGGACCUUCGGGCCUGGCGCGAUUGGAUGAGCCCAUGUCGGAUUAGCUAGUUGGCGGGGUAAUGGCCCACCAAGGCGACGAUCCGUAGCUGGUCUGAGAGGAUGAUCAGCCACACUGGAACUGAGACACGGUCCAGACUCCUACGGGAGGCAGCAGUAGGGAAUAUUGGACAAUGGGCGCAAGCCUGAUCCAGCCAUGCCGCGUGAGUGAAGAAGGCCCUCGGGUUGUAAAGCUCUUUUGUCCGGAAAGAAAAGCGCCGGGUUAAUACCCUGGUGUCCUGACGGUACCGGAAGAAUAAGCACCGGCUAACUUCGUGCCAGCAGCCGCGGUAAU